Long non-coding RNA from Oncorhynchus tshawytscha (Chinook salmon), 412 nucleotides. The record is from Ensembl. NCBI's taxonomy places the organism in Eukaryota, Metazoa, Chordata, Actinopteri, Salmoniformes, Salmonidae.
GUUGUAUUCAGCAUUUCACUGUAAGGUCUACUACACCUGUUGUAGUCAGCAUUUCACUGUAAGGUCUACCUACACCUGUUGUAUUCGGCAUUUCACUGUAAGGUCUACUACACCUGUUGUAUUCAGCAUUUCACUGUAAGGUCUACUACACCUGUUGUAUUCAGCAUUUCACUGUAAGGUCUACUACACCUGUUGUAUUCAGCAUUUCACUGUAAGGUCUACUACACCUGUUGUAUUCAGCAUUUCACUGUAAGGUAUACUACACCUGUUGUAUUCAGCAUUUCACUGUAAGGUCUACUACACCUGUUGUAUUCAGCAUUUCACUGUAAGGUAUACUACACCUGUUGUAUUCAGCAUUUCACUGUAAGGUCUACUACACCUGUUGUAUUCAGCAUUUCACUGUAAGGUCUAC